Lentibacillus amyloliquefaciens is the source of this 159-nucleotide non-coding RNA. NCBI's taxonomy places the organism in Bacteria, Bacillati, Bacillota, Bacilli, Caryophanales, Bacillaceae. The record is from Rfam.
CCAAACUUUACAACGCAGGAUGGGAAUGACGGAACCAUCCCGUCAAUACUCCUGCAUGCGUCAUGACUGGCAGGUCAUGGGGUUUUAAGAACAGGUAGAUUCGGCAGAACAAAGGCUGAAGCCAUUCCUUUUGGAAAAGGUAUGCCGUACGGCUGAAAA